This 11908-nucleotide long non-coding RNA is filed under the name Olea europaea (common olive). The record is from RNAcentral. Lineage: Eukaryota; Viridiplantae; Streptophyta; Magnoliopsida; Lamiales; Oleaceae.
UCAAUGAGUUCUGGACAUAUGCGAGAUUUUGGCUCGCUCGCUCGCGCUCUCUCUCUCUCUCUUCCCAAACUGAAACCCUGACUCUAGAGGGAGAAUGGCUUCAAUUUCAUUAUCCUCACUGUCGGUACCAUUUUCGACCUUACCCAAUUCCUCCAUUAGUAAUUGCAGACCCGAGUUUUCUGUUCUCUCUUUGCCUUCCUCAAUUUCCUCAAAGUUACAUGCCCUGAAACCCUAUCGAGUUUCCCCUUCCAGAACUUUUGCUGUUCCUGAAGUUUUGGAAUCCAAUGCUGCUUCUGAGGUUUGUUUUGUUAUCGACUCAGUUAUAAUUAUGUUUGAUAAUUAUGCACUUUUCACAUGAUUGAAAUGAUUUUCUUUUUGGGUUUUCUGGGGUCUUAGGACGAGGCUCCUUCCUCUUCAGUGCCGAGUGUUGGUACAGAUUCUGAGAAAGUAACUUCUCUUUUCUUCUUAUUCACCUGCACGCUAUGUUCUUUGUAUUUGGUUAUUAAUAUUGCUUUUGCUAAAAUUAUAGUAGCAGGAUUAAUUAGUUGUUGAGUGACAUUGCGUAUCAAUUGCUGCUGUAAUUAUCUACUUUAUCCUAAUUACUAUGAGGUAGACCAGUAGAGAGAGAAUGGAGUUAUGAAAUGCAAUGGCUCCAAUUAAAACACUGUCACUUUUCAUUGAUGUCAAUGUAUUUGCCUUAACACGUUCAUAUCUAAUACUGAAUCAAUCAGUAUUCAGUGCGAAGAAUUGUCUGCUAUAGGAAUUUGGUUUCACAUGAGCUUUGUAUAUUACAUCCCAGGAGAACCUUCCGGGCCCCAUUUAGCAGGGCUUUUGAAAAGCCAAAAGCGAUUUUGAUACUAAGAAAUUGCUUUUGAACAUGGUUGAAUAGUUUUCUGAAAGUGUUUUGUGUGGUAGAGGGAAAACUGAUUCUACAAGAUGCAGAAGCAAAAAUAUCUUCAUGAUAUUUUAAAGUCUCGUAGGGAUUAUCAUCGUAUUUCCCUCUACUAUUAAAAGAGCGAAUGCUGCAAUCACUAUUCAUUUGUGAAGUAUUUUCUUUUCCUAUUUUGCCCUUGAAUGGACUGUUGAUUAAUGAGGCCAUGCAUGGAAAAAAAGGGCAAUAUGAAUAUUUCAUUCAUCUCUUUCACUUUGGGUUGGGUUGGGUUGUAAUGUACUGAAACCCUAGACUAUUCCCCGCCCCAAAAAAGGCCACAAAAAUUUUUCACUCAAAAUCCUCGUUCUGUGCUAUACAUUCACCUAAAACUCUUUGACUUCGAAGUUCUGCUAUGCGUAUCGCUCGCUGUUGGAUAGCUUGUAAAUUUUUGGGCUGGCAAAGAAGUGUAAUCUUGAAGAAGCCCAGAUGCUCGUGCAAAAACUACAUCAGUACCAAUUAGAAGGCUCGAAUUCCGUAUUUUUUUAGAGUUUGAUUUUGGCUAUGAUUAAUUGGUUAUCCGCGCUUCUGAGAUUUAUGAUACUUGAAGUAUGAGGUUGAAUAAUGGUUGAAUUUCUUGAUAUGAACUGAAACGUAAUUUAUGUUAUAUUUUUGUUUUAAAUUUUUAGAAUUUGAAUUUCCUCUUGAAUUUGUGUGGGCAGGGAUGACCAUUUUACAGCUUUUUAAUGCCGGUUCUGCUUCAGAAAAUUCUUGAUUGACAAAGCUGCUUAUUUCUGAGCCAUCCAUUUGUUUUCCACCACCCAUUUCCUUAAUGCCCCUGUUGUUUCCUUUCUCACACAAAAUUGCCUCCUCAACCUUUGGUGAAAAUCUAAAACAAAUAGAGGACAUCUCUACAGGAAAUUGUAGAGUCUCGACUCCAAGUAUAUUCUUCUCAUACAAGUUUUUUUUUUUUUUUUUUUUUUUUUUUUUUUUUUUUUUUUUUUUUUUUUGGUAUUUUAUUUAAUUUUUUUCGAACUCUAUUCUUCUAUGUUUGUUUCAAUUUUUGUGAAAGUUUCCCAAAAAUUCAGAAAACUUCAUGUUUAGUGCAGUUUAGGGUUAUAAGUGAUGGAAUUGAUGUCUCUAUGUUUAAGUUAGGUUAGAGUCCAUUGUUUCUUUUUUGGGGAUUAUAGUUAAUAUUUGUAGUUGUACAUCCAGAAUUUUUUGGUUCAUUGUUGUUUGGUUGAAAGUUUAUAGUGUUGGGCUUAUUUAUAUAUCUGCAUACGUCGUGUUUUAAUUUUUUUUUUUCCCCACUAUGAGUUCUCCUGUGCAUCAAGAAUUACAAACCUUAAAUCAAGAUUUUAUUGUUUACUGUUUACAAUUUUUUUGAUUCCGCGUUGUUUUGCUUAUUUUAUUUCUUCUAUUUAUAUGGAAAAAGAAGGAAAAAAUGUUCAAGGAUUUUGAUUAGUUUAUAAAUAUCUGAUUUCUUGUUUUUCGCUUCUAUGACCAUUGAUUAUUCUAUUAUUAUUUACUUUAAUGGGUGUAAGACUCAUUACAGAUUUUUUAGCAUAUUUUUUAAUUUUUUUACUAAAUUUAUGUGCAAAUAAAAUGAGAAAUUAUUUAAAUGGAAGUCUCCUAAUUUUCAUGCAAUGCCAUUUUGUUAGUGUGCAUUAGUCCUAUGCAAUUAUUCAAGUGAGUAAAUUAUUGAUGGAAGUGUGUACCUUUAACGUGCUUGAACUUCCAGUAUAUGCUGUUUAGUUUUUAUUCACUUUUUCAUUCUUCAUGGAUAAUUUAUUUAUUUAUUAUUAUUAUUUUUAUUAUUAUUAUUAUUAUUAAUUUUUUUUCCCAUUUUGCUAGACAUCUAGCCAUACUUAUGCUGAGGUGCAAAAUGUAUUCCAACUAUAGUUUUUCUUGUGAAAAGAAAUUUAAUAACACCACUUCUCCUAGGAUGUCUUAAAUAUAUAAUAUGUAGAAAUAGAAUUGUAUCUUGAUGUGAAACUUUCGAAUUAUAUUGUAAUUUAGGCAACAUUCUUUCUUUUAUACAGAUGUUUGCAUUGAAAUUUUGUGAUAGAGUUUCUUGUCAAUCCUUGACAUUUUUAAGACGUUAACAUUACCUUCAAAAUAACACAUCACGUGCAUUGCACGGCAAAAAACUAGUAUCUUUAAAAUUUGAAAUAAGGUUGGUGUACUGUCUAUUACAGAUUGAACACGUGCUUAAUGCAUUAUAUUAUUGAUCUACAAAUUGUGUAUAUUAUUUUAAUACUUUCACACACAUGUAUAUUUAAAUUAUUAGGAUGAAAUGGAAUUAGACAAGGGUGUGAGGAAGACAGAGGAGUCAUUGAAUGAUAUAGAGUGCUUGACGGCAUGUCUCGUAUAAUGUCCACAAAUUUGUGAACUAGGAUCAACUUACUAUGCGAACCAACAAUGCAUUUCUCUACCAGGGCAUGAUCGUAUACCAAUGGAGGUCGAAGAUAGGUCUCAUAAGGUCUAAAAAUAAUUGGGGUUAAAGGCUAUCAAUCUCCACACAGAUCAAUCCAAUGGAAGGAAGAUAAGGCAUACAAAUAAUUGGGUUAAAGGUGCCCCUCAUGGGGUGGUUGAGUUGAUAGAGUAGGUGAGCGCGGAAACCUUUGGUCACGAGUUCGAUUUUCCCCGCCAACACUUUCUCGAUCUAGCUUGUCGAAUCGAACUUGCCUAGUGUGGUGUACCUGGCUGUCACGAUUUACCAAUGGAGGUCGAAGAUAGGUCUCAUAAGGCCUAAAAAUAAUUAGGGUUAAAGGCUAUCAAUCUCCACAAAAAUCAAUCCAAUGGAGGUAGAAGAUAUGGCAUACAAAUAAUUGGGUUAAAGGCUAUCAAUUUCCACACAAAUCAAUUAUUAAGCCGUUUGAUUAUCUUUUCAUUGUAUUCACUUCAUUAUUAGCGCAUGUUGGCACUCAGUUUAUAUCCAUUCAUGGUUGGUCCCAUAAGUUUUAAUGUUUUGAUGUUCCUUUCAUUUUGUUCCAUGCAUACUGAUAUUCCUAUGAAUUUGGCAUGUCCAAAUAAUUGAGUGCUAUAUUUUUACAUUUUCUUGUUGGAUAUUGAAGAAUUUGCGCACUUUUGUUCGGGAAAUAUCUGUAUUUAGAUUGAAUUUUGGUCCAUCUGAUACUUAGAUCAAAGUUUUAGCUGAUGAGAUUCCAUAAUAUAGUCCUAUUGUAAAUUGCUGUAAAAAUCUUACGCAUUAAGCCCUUGUUUCGUAAAAUUUAAAACUCGUCAAAGUCAACAAUUAAUUUUAUCUACACAUUUUAUAGGACACACAACUUUUCAACAACACAUUUCAUUAACUUUUAUAAUAAUCUGCUAAAAAUUUGAUUUUAAUACCUAUCAAAUAGGGGAUAAAUAUUUAUUGUGGUAAAAUUACCAAAAUAUCUCCCCAUAGCUACAAAAAUCACAUUUCUUCAAUUUCAUUUGCCAAGUUUUGAUUAUAAAUAUGGCAUCGAAACUAUUCUUCAAGAAAACCAAUCUCAAGAAUUUUAUGCAAAUUCCUCUUGCUCUCUAGAAAUAAGAAUGACUACUUUACUUUGUCUUACUUUUCUCCUCUUUCCCUUGAGUCUGUCAAGGUAAAUAAUGUUAGCUAAAGCUGCUGAGAUUGACUUCAUCAUUUACUUGAUAUUCAAACACAAUACAAGAUUUUACACCUUGAUUAUCACACUGAAAUCCAACGUCUACAAAUAGCAAAGAAAUAAUCACACAUGGAUCACAUCUGCCCAUCAAUUUAUUUUAUAAUGAGAUGAUAACAGUAGGUCGAGUACACACAAUUUAAUCAUCGUCAAUCCAUGCAAGAUCAACGUUUGACAUCCAGUGACAUGCCUCACCUUUUCCAGGGGAGAAUUUCAAUAUCUUAGAAGCUACAUGAUUCUCAAGCCAUGUCGAGAUAUCCAUGUGACAAAUUGAGAUCACGAUUUUAACUGGGAGUCGAGUUUUGGCUUCAACCAUGUCUACAGCAUAGAGUCGAGAUGAUAGGAUUGAGUGACAGAAAUAGGCUGCAAAUGGAGGAUAAACUUCAUGACAGACAAUUAUUUUCUGCCUAUCAAAUUUCUUGAUUUUUUUUUAUCAUAAAAUCCCCUGUUUUUGUGCUUUGUGAAGCCAGUGCAAGUGACUUCUUGUUGCCUAAGGCGAAUUUUGAAAAACUAAUCAUUUCUCCAAGGGAUUUUGUGCAAUUCUUGAUUCCUCCAUUUAUAACUUCUGCAUUACAAUAAAAAAGGGUAGUUUCAAUGGAAUUUUUCAAUAGUUUAAAGGACUUGAGAAAUAUUUUUCUGAUGUUUUUUCUGUUGAUAGAAAUUUUUGAAGCUAUUUCUUGAGGGAGAAAUGCGCAAUUCGAAUAUUAAUUUCUGAAUCUAGGGCCUGAAGAAAGAAAAAUUGUCUAUCUUAGUGGGUUGAAUAGUUGAUGCAUACUUAUUGUAUACUUUGACCAGUUUGUAUACUUUGGUCAGUUCCAGGAAUUUUUCAUAUUCAAAUGAGCAAGUGAGUUUUGCUAUUGAGCAAAAACUGGAAUUUUCUGAGAAUUCAUUUUUGGACAUCAUUUUAAUGUAAUAAUUCCGAUCCUUUUUUGUUAAUGGGGAUAGCUUUUUGAAAACAGAUUUAAACAUUUGGUUUUACACAUUUUCUGACCAGAACUUGAUAUGGUCGAAAGCGAUGGAUGAUAUACGGACUUGAGUUGACACAAAAGAAGUGAAGUAAAGACAAAAGAUCAAGAGAAAGAGGAGAAAAGUAGCCUUUUUUUUAUGACGAGGGAACUAGCGGAAUUGAGUGUAAUGCUAGAAACCCAAGAAAGUGUUUCCAAUCUAUGUAAUUGUUUAAUCUGAAAAGCAUGGCGUUAAAAUGAGUAAAGGCUAAUGGAAAACUUUGAGGAAGUGGUAGACGGAGGAUUUUGAGUCUACAAAUCUCAUUGGAUCUCUAUCAAAUGCGAGGAAUUCAUAUAUUUCUUCUAUUGUCGGAAAAGUUUUGUGAACUUUUCAAGAGUAUUUGCAUUUAGGCCAUCUCCAUUGCUAAGGGCAUCCUUGAUUUCUUUGUGCAAAACGCCAAGUGAUUUGAGUACAAUUGCUGUGGUUUGGGACUUUAUGGUGUCGAGAAUGAAAAUCUGGGAAGCUGGACCGAAUCUAUCCCUUAUCCUGGUUGUUGAAUUAAUGUCUUGUCAAGGAGAUUUUCGAUUGAUGGCAACAUAUCCAAAGAGAGCUUCAACAAGAUGGCCAUUGUUGACCUCGCAAAUUGGACUUCCACGUGGUCAACCAAGAGCCACUCCACGUGUUCCUCCCUGCACACAACAACAUAUGGUCAGGAGCACACUGUCGGAACCAACGAGGGUGGUGGCAAUCAAAUACACUCCGACGGUCAAGUCAGUGGUCGAUGAUCGGAACGAUACCGAAAUCGUGCAAGAGAGUGAGGAGAAUAUGAUGCUUGAAGCUUGUGAACUAAGAUCAACUUACUAUGCGGACCAACAAUGCAUUUCUCUACCAGGGCAUGAUCGCAUACCAAUGGAGGUCGAAGAUUGGUCUCAUAAGGCCUAAAAAUAAUUGGGGUUAAAGGCUAUCUAUCUCCACACAAAUCAAUCCAAUGGAGGUAGAAGAUAAGGCAUACAAAUAAUUGGAAUAAAGGCGUCCCUCAUGGGAUGAUCGAGUUGGUGGAGUAGGUGAGCGCGGAGGCCGUUGGUCACAAGUUCGAUUCUCCCCACCAACACUUUUUUGAGUCGCACCAGACUUGUCUAGUGCAGUUUACCUGUCUGGCACGAUUUACCAAUGGAGGUUGAAGAUAGGUCUCAUAAAGCCUAAAAAUAAUUAGGGUUAAAGGCUAUCAAUCUCCACACAAAUCAAUCCAAUGGAGGUAGAAGAUAGGGCAUACAAAUAAUUGGGUUAAAGGCUAUCAAAUUUCACACAAAUCAAUUAUUAAGCCGUUUGCUUAUCCUUUUAUUGUAUUCACUUCAUUAUUAGUGCAUGUUGGCACCCAUAAAUUUUAAUGUUUUGAUGUUCCUUUCAUUUUGUCCCAUGCAUAUUGAUAUUCCUAUGAAUUUGGCAUGUCCAAAUAAUUCAGUGCUACAUUUUUACAUUUUUUUUUUUUUUGGAUAUUGAAGAAUUUGCGCACUCUUGUUCGAGAAAUCUUUGUAUUUAGAUUGAAUUUUGGUCCAUCUGAUAAUUAGAUCAAGGUUUUAGAUGAUGAGGUUCCAUAAUACAGUCCUACUGUAAAUUGCUAUAAAAAUCUUAUUCAUUAAACCCUUGUUUCGUAAAAUUUAAAACUCGUCAAAGCCAACAAUUAAUUUUAUCCACACAUUUUAUGGGACCCACCAUUUUUCAACCACACAUUUCAUUAACUCUUAUCAAAUUCUGCUAAAAAAUUGAUUUUAAUGCCCACCAAAUAGGGGCUAAAUAUUUAUUGUGGUAAAAUUACCAAAAUAUCCCCCAUAGCCACAAAAAUCACAUUUCUUCAAUUUCACUUGCCAAGUUUUGAUUUUAAAUAUGGCCUUGAAACUAUCCUUCAUGUAAAUAUCUUGAGGAUUUUAUCUGAAUUCCUCUUGCUCUCUAAAAAUAAGAAUGGCUACUUUUUUUUUGCCCUUCAUGGAGUGGUCGAGUUGGUGGAGUAAGUGAGCGCGGAAACCUUUGAUCAUGAGUUCGAUUUUCUCUACCAACACUUUCUCGGUCGAGCCUGUCACACAGGACUUGCCUAGUGCGAUUUACUUGGCUAGCGUUAGCUAUUGCGUCAGUUCAAGGGUUUAUUCAGUGCACACCCGAAAGGUAGCGGUUGCGGGUUCCUCCGUCAUAAAAAUAAAAUAAUAAUAAAAAUAAAAAAUGGCUACUUUACGUUGUCUUACUUUUCUCCUCUUUCACUUGAUCUUUUAUCUUUACUUCACUUCUUUUGCGUCGACUCAAGUCCCUACAUCAUCCAUCACUUCCGAUCAGAUCAAGUUCUGGUCAGAAAAUGUGCAAAACCAAAUGUUAGAAUCUGUUUUCAAAAAGCUAUCCCCAUUAACAAAAAAUGAUUGGGAUUAUUACACUAAAAUGAUGACCAAAAAUGAAUUCUCAGAAAAUCCCAAUUUUUGCUCAAUAGCAAAACUGUCUUGCUCAUCUGAAUAUGAAAAUUUCCUAGAACUGGCCAAAGUAUACAAAAUGGUCAAAGCAUACAAUAAGUAUGCAUCAACUAUUCAACCCACUAGCGUAGACAAUUUUUCUUUCUUCAGGCUCUAAAUCCUUAGAGAAUGAAAUAUAUUCCAUAUCCUAGAUUCAGAAAUUAAUAUUCCGAAUCGAGCAUUUCUCCCUCAAGAAAUAGCUUCAAAAAUUUCUAUCAGCAGAAGAAACAUCAGAAAAAUAUUUCCCAAAUCCUUUAAACUACCGAAAAAUUCCGUUGAAACUACCUUUUUUUAUUGUAAUGCAAAAGUUAUAAAUGGAGGAAUCAAGAAUUACACAAAAUACCUUGAAGAAAUGAUUAGUUUUUCAAAAUUCACCUUAGACAACAAGAAGUUACUUGCACUAGCUUCACAAAGCACAAAAACUGGGGAUUUUAUGAUAAAAAAGAUCAAGAAAUUUGAUAGGCAGAAAACAAUUGUUUGUCAUGAAGUUUAUCUUUCAUUUGCAGCCUAUUUCUACCACUCAAUCCCAUCAUCUCGACUCUAUGCUGUAGACUUGGUUGAAGCCAAAACUCGACUUCCAAUUAAAACCGUGAUCUCAAUUUGUCACAUGGAUACCUCGGCAUGGACUGAGAAUCAUGUAACUUCUAAGAUACUGAAAUUCUCCCCUGGAGAAGGCGAGGCAUGCCACUGGAUGUCGAACGUUGAUCUUGCAUGGAUGGCGAUGAUUAGAUUGUGUGUACUCGACCUACUGCUAUCAUCUCAUUAUAAAAUAAAUUGAUGGGCGGAGAUGAUCCAUGUGUGAUUAUUUCUUUGCUAUUUGUAUAUGUUGAAUUUCAGUGUGAUAAUCAAGGUGUAAAAUCUUGUAUUGUGUUUGAAUAUCAAGUAAAUGAUGAAGUCAAUCUCAGUAGCUUUGGCUAACAUUAUUUAUCUUGACAGACUCAAGGGAAAGAGGAGAAAAGUAAGAAAAUGUAAAGUAGUCAUUCUUAUUUCUAGAGAGCAAGAGGAAUUUGCAUAAAAUCCUCAAGAUAGGUUUCCCUGAAGAAUAGUUUCGAGGCCAUAUUUAUAAUCAAAACUUGGCAAGUGAAAUUGAAGAAAUGUGAUUUUUGUAGCUAUGGGGGGGAUAUUUUGGUAAUUUACCACAAUAAAUAUUUAGCCCCUAUUUGGUGGGCAUUAAAAUCAAUUUUUAGCAGAUUUUAAUAAAAGUUAAUAAAAUGUGUUGUUGAAAAGUUGUGGAUCCCAUAAAAUGUGGGGAUAAUGUUAAUUGUUGACUUUGACGAGUUUUAAAUUUACGAAAUAGGGGCUUAAUGCGUAAAAUUUUUACAGCAAUUUACAGUAGGACUGUAUUAUGAGACCUCAUCAUCUAAAACCUUGAUUUAAUUAUCCGAUGGACCAAAAUUCAAGCUAAAUACAGAGAUUUCUUGAACAAAGAUGCGCAAAUUCUUCAAUAUCCAACAAGAAAAUGUAGCACUUAAUUAUUUGGACAUGCCAAAUUCAUAGGAAUAUCAGUAUGCAUGGGACAAAAUGAAAGGAACAUUAAAACUUAUGGGACCAACCAUAAAUGGAUAUAAACUGAGUGCCAACAUGCGCUAAUAAUGAAGUGAAUACAAUAAAAAGAUGAGCAAAUGGCUUAAUAAUUGAUUUGUGUGGAAAUUGAUAGCAUUUAACCCAAUUAUUUGUAUGCCCUAUCUUCUACCUCCAUUGGAUUGAUUUUUGUGGAGAUUGAUAGCCUUUAACCCUAAUUAUUUUUAGACCUUAUGAGACCUAUCUUCGACCUCCAUUGGUAAAUUGUGCUAGCCAGGUAAAUCGCACUAGGCAAGUUCGGUGCGACAGGUCGAUCGAGAAAGUGUUGGUAGGGAGAAUCGAACUUGUGACCAAAGGCCUCCGCGUUCACCUACUCUAACUCAACCACCCCACGAGGGGCGCCUUUAACCUAAUUAUUUGUAUGCUCUUCACUCCAUUGGAUUGAUUUGUGUGGAGAUUGAUAGCAUUUAAUUCCAAUUAUUUUUGGGCCUUGUGAGACCUAUCUUCGACCUCCAUUGGCAUGCGAUCAUGCCCUGGUAGAGAGAUGCAUUUUUGGUCCGCAUAGUAAGUUGAUCUUAGUUCACAAAUUUGUGGACAUUAUACAAGACAUGCCGUCAAGCACUCUAUAUCAUUUAGUGACUCCUCCGUCUCCCUCACACCCUUGUCUAAUUCCAUUUCAUCCUAAUAAUUUAAAUAUACAUAUGUGUGUGUGAAAGUAUUAAAAUAAUAUACACAAUUUGUAGAUCAAUAAUAUAAUGCAUUAAGCGCGUGUUCAAUCUAUAAUAGACAGUACACCAACCUUAUUUCAACUUUUAAAGAUAAAUACGUAUUGAAAUUUUGAGGUAAUAUGGUACUAUGUACAUUUUAUAAAUAUUAUUUAGAAAAAAUGCAAAAUAAUUNNNNNNNNNNNNNNNNNNNNNNNNNNNNNNNNNNNNNNNNNNNNNNNNNNNNNNNNNNNNNNNNNNUUGAAUUAUAACAUUGUAUAUUAUUAUUAUUAGGUGGCCACGGUUGUCACAUUACGUUACUAUAAUAUUUUGCAAAAUGGACCACAAGUCCUUUUCACACUAUUGAAUUCUAUUAAAGCAUCCAAUCAGAAUUUAAACACCUUUCCUUUACUUCAUAAGCGUGGUAAGUAUGGUAAAAUUGCGUGGGUUGCAGGUGUUGACGGGGAUGAGUGAGUAAUAGUUGGUUGGAGGAGGUGAUUUACUAAUAUUAUUUUUUUAAAUUUUUUCUAGUUGUUAAUAUGUAUUUGAUUGUUUUAAUUGAGACACUUUUUAAAAAGUUAUGUGAUUUGAAUUGCAAUUUUUCUUAUUUUUUGUGUGGAAAUUGAUAACCUUUAAUCCAAUUAUUUGUAUGCCUUACCUUCUACCUCCAUUGGAUUGAUUUGUGUAGAGAUUGAUAGCCUCUAACCCCAAUUUUUUUUUAGGCUUUAUGAGACCUAUUUUCGACCUCCAUUGGUAUGCGAUCAUGCCCUGAUAGAGAAAUGCGUUGUCGGUCCGCAUAGUAAGUUGAUCUUCUAAAUUUUAACGAACAAGUUGAUCAACAAACAAUCAGUCUCCAACUAUGAAAAUCGUUUAAAUUAUAAUUAAAUCAUUAUGAAAAUUAGCCUCACUUCAAAUUUGUAGGCCCAGCCUACGUGAUGAUUUAACAAAUAUUUUGGCCUUUUUUAUUUCAUUAGUUGACACGCACGUUGCAUUUAUAAAAUUGGAACAAUGAGUGACUUAGGCUAUUAUAUAGUAGAAAUGUGCUACAUGUAUAGAAAUUUUCCUCACAAAAAUCUUACAGACAAGACAUAGCAGGGCGUGGGUGGUUUAUUUUUUGCAAUAAAAUAUUCACAUGGGUCCCACCCCAUGUAAAAUUUCUGUGAGGCUUUUGUAAGGGAGAUUUUCGUAUCUUCAGUUUUUAUUGUAUAUAGUAAAUGUGUAUGGAUAUGGUGAUAGAAGAAUUAUGAAUGAUUCACACAUAUAUCUCACGCGGAAUAAUUAUGGCAUACCUUAAAUAAGAACCUCAAGUUGGAAAUAACAGAUGGAUGAUUUUUGUACUGAAAGGAGCACGCAUAUAGAAACGGCAACAGAGAAAAGGUUUUGGGAACAUGAGAUAAAUGCUUUUCUUCCGAUAAUUCUUUUUAUCAAUCAAGGUAGAAUUACGAGGUGCAAGUGGUUGGUCCCGUUUGAUUUAUUUCUUCAUGUUAAUAAAUAUUAUGUUAAUCAAAGUUAUGGUAUGAUAUGGUAUGACCAUCCAAUACCAAAGAUAUGAUAUGUAUUGAAUUCUUAUCGAUUUCUAAAUAUAUAAUAAUGGUAUGAUAUUUUUGACACAUGAUUUAAUAUUUUUAUUUGGGACUGUACCGUUAUUCGUUUUCUACUGAGUAUUUCCGUGUACUCACAAUUUCUCCUACCCCUCAUAGGUUAUAAUGGGUCGUUGGUUGGUGGGUG